This 368-nucleotide ribosomal RNA is filed under the name Popillia mutans. RNAcentral describes it as "partial 16S ribosomal RNA". The record is from RNAcentral. Lineage: Eukaryota; Metazoa; Arthropoda; Insecta; Coleoptera; Scarabaeidae.
ACCGUGCAAAGGUAGCAUAAUCAUUAGUUUUUUAAUUGAAAGCUGGUAUGAACGGUUGGACGAGAGAGUAACUGUCUCAAUUUAAAUGUAUAUAGAAUUUUAUUUAUAAGUAAAAAAGCUUAUAUAAUUUUAAAAGACGAGAAGACCCUAUAGAGUUUUAUAGUUUAUUUUAUUAUUUAAUUUUAGUAUAUUUAUAUUUUUAAUAAUUUAAACUAUUUUGCUGGGGCAGCAGAGAAAUUUACUAAACUUUUUUUAUUGAAUUACAUUAAUUUAUGAUUGAAUGAUCCAUUUUUAAUGAUUAUAAGAUUAAAUUACCUUAGGGAUAACAGCGUAAUUUUUUUUUAGAGUUCUUAUCGAAAAAAGAGUUU